UACGUAGGGUCCAAGCGUUAUCCGGAAUCAUUGGGCGUAAAGCGCGCGCAGGCGGCUUGGAGAGCCCGGCGUGAAAGCCCCCAGCUCAACUGGGGGAGGCCGUCGGGGACCUUCAGGCUGGAGGCCGGUAGGGGAGAGUGGAAUUCCCGGUGUAGUGGUGGAAUGCGUAGAGAUCGGGAGGAACACCAGUGGCGAAGGCGACUCUCUGGACCGGUCCUGACGCUCAGGCGCGAAAGCGUGGGGAGCGAUCCGG
RNAcentral lists this ribosomal RNA (253 nucleotides) under uncultured bacterium. Its description in RNAcentral is "partial 16S ribosomal RNA". It matches the Rfam family "Bacterial small subunit ribosomal RNA", at positions 524 to 776 of the family's 1533-position model. The record is from RNAcentral.